Molecule: non-coding RNA, 46 nt
Organism: Canis lupus familiaris (dog)
Lineage: Eukaryota; Metazoa; Chordata; Mammalia; Carnivora; Canidae
Source: Rfam
CAAAAGGUUUUUUUUAAAACUAUAAUUGAUAUUCUUAAGGAAAGAA